Molecule: ribosomal RNA, 776 nt
Filed under: uncultured Neocallimastigales
Lineage: Eukaryota; Fungi; Neocallimastigomycota; Neocallimastigomycetes; Neocallimastigales
Description: partial large subunit ribosomal RNA
Rfam family: Eukaryotic large subunit ribosomal RNA
Source: RNAcentral
AGAGAUGUGUGAUGACGCAUAUCAAUAAGCGGAGGAAAAGAAACUAACAAGGAUUCCCUUAGUAACGGCGAGUGAAGCGGGAAGAGCUCAAAUUUGAAAUCUUCAAGGUUCUACCUUGACGAAUUGUAGUUUAUAGAAGUGUUUUCUGUUAGUGGAGUGGCAAAAGUUCUUUGGAAUAGGACAUCAUAGAGGGUGAGAAUCCCGUAUUUGGUCAUUCCUCCUAGCGUUGUGAUACACUUUCAACGAGUCGGAUUGUUUGGGAAUGCAGUCCAAAAUGGGUGGUAAAUUUCAUCUAAGGCUAAAUAUUGGCGAGAGACCGAUAGCGAACAAGUACCGUGAGGGAAAGAUGAAAAGAACUUUGAAAAGAGAGUUAAACAGUACGUGAAAUUGUCAAAAGGGAAGCGUUUGACACCAGUGUUGUUUUUCCGAAAAUCAAUUACGAAUGUUUUAGUUUUUGAGGAAGUUAUGACUUCAUCGGCUUGCUCCUUUCUUUAUGAAACUUUCUUAAUGCACUUUUCGGUUAACAAGUCAACAUCAAUUUCUUUUGUUGUAAAAGGGUAUGAGGAAGGUGGCUUUCUUUUCGGAGAAAGUGUUUAUAGCCUUGUGCCUCUGCAAUCGGAGAGAUUGAGGUCUGCAGCGUAGAUCCUUCGGGGUUAGAUACGUUUGUGCUAAGUUAUAGCUUUUCAUAGACAACUUGUUGACUAUGUUUAGUCUUGUAGCUUACUCGCUGACGCUAUUUUACCUACGCUUAGGAUGUUGAGUAGCGACAUACGCAC